CCCCAGGGAUACUGCUUCUUAAUCCUGAUUUAGAAGGCACCCUCCCAGGCCUACCACGGAUGACCCUGGGUCAUUACUCUGCAUGUGUGCCUCAGUUACCCACCGGUACAAUAUGGGUAAUAAUGCCCACUCUAGUUCAUCGUGAGGACCAAUA
RNAcentral lists this small nucleolar RNA (154 nucleotides) under Loxodonta africana (African savanna elephant). RNAcentral describes it as "Small nucleolar RNA ACA59 (ENSLAFG00000032938.1)". Lineage: Eukaryota; Metazoa; Chordata; Mammalia; Proboscidea; Elephantidae. The record is from RNAcentral.